RNAcentral lists this ribosomal RNA (675 nucleotides) under uncultured Vibrionaceae bacterium. RNAcentral's name for it is "bacterial SSU rRNA". It matches the Rfam family "Bacterial small subunit ribosomal RNA", at positions 1 to 671 of the family's 1533-position model. The record is from RNAcentral. Lineage: Bacteria; Pseudomonadati; Pseudomonadota; Gammaproteobacteria; Vibrionales; Vibrionaceae.
UAGAGUUUGAUCAUGGCUCAGAUUGAACGCUGGCGGCAGGCCUAACACAUGCAAGUCGAGCGGAAACACAAGGGAGCUUGCUCCUGAGGUGUCGAGCGGCGGACGGGUGAGUAAUGCCUAGGUAUCUGCCCAGUCGAGGGGGAUAACAGUUGGAAACGACUGCUAAUACCGCAUACGCCCUACGGGGGAAAGGAGGGGACCUUCGGGCCUUUCGCGAUUGGAUGAACCUAGGUGGGAUUAGCUAGUAGGUGGGGUAAUGGCUCACCUAGGCAACGAUCCCUAGCUGGUCUGAGAGGAUGAUCAGCCACACUGGAACUGAGACACGGUCCAGACUCCUACGGGAGGCAGCAGUGGGGAAUAUUGCACAAUGGGCGAAAGCCUGAUGCAGCCAUGCCGCGUGUAUGAAGAAGGCCUUCGGGUUGUAAAGUACUUUCAGCGGGGAGGAAAGGUAGGUAGUUAAUAACUGCUUACUGUGACGUUACUCGCAGAAGAAGCACCGGCUAACUUCGUGCCAGCAGCCGCGGUAAUACGAGGGGUGCAAGCGUUAAUCGGAAUUACUGGGCGUAAAGCGUACGCAGGCGGUUUGUUAAGCAAGAUGUGAAAGCCCCGGGCUCAACCUGGGAACUGCAUUUUGAACUGGCAAACUAGAGUCCUGUAGAGGGGGGUAGAAUUUCA